RNAcentral lists this ribosomal RNA (440 nucleotides) under uncultured bacterium. RNAcentral describes it as "partial 16S ribosomal RNA". It matches the Rfam family "Bacterial small subunit ribosomal RNA", at positions 338 to 795 of the family's 1533-position model. The record is from RNAcentral.
CCUACGGGAGGCAGCAGUGGGGAAUAUUGCACAAUGGGGGAAACCCUGAUGCAGCGACGCCGCGUGAAGGAAGAAGUAUUUCGGUAUGUAAACUUCUAUCAGCAGGGAAGAAAAUGACGGUACCUGCCUAAGACGCCCCGGCUAACUACGUGCCAGCAGCCGCGGUCAUACGUAGGGGGCCAGCGUUAUCCGGAUUUACUGGGUGUAAAGGGAGCGUAGGCGGUUUAGCAAGUCAGAAGUGAAAGCCCGGGGCUCAACUCCGGGACUGCUUUUGAAACUGUUGAACUAGAUUGCAGGAGAGGUAAGUGGAAUUCCUAGUGUAGCGGUGAAAUGCGUAGAUAUUAGGAGGAACACCAGUGGCGAAGGCGGCUUACUGGACUGUAAAUGACGCUGAGGCUCGAAAGCGUGGGGAGCAAACAGGAUUAGAUACCCUUGUAGUC